GAGUUUGAUCAUGGCUCAGAUUGAACGCUGGCGGCAUGCCUUACACAUGCAAGUCGAACGGCAGCACGGGAGCUUGCUCCUGGUGGCGAGUGGCGAACGGGUGAGUAAUGCGUCGGAACGUAUCCUGGAGUGGGGGAUAACGUAGCGAAAGUUACGCUAAUACCGCAUAUUCUGUGAGCAGGAAAGCGGGGGACCUUCGGGCCUCGCGCUCUUGGAGCGGCCGAUGUCGGAUUAGCUAGUUGGUGAGGUAAAGGCUCACCAAGGCGACGAUCCGUAGCAGGUCUGAGAGGAUGAUCUGCCACACUGGAACUGAGACACGGUCCAGACUCCUACGGGAGGCAGCAGUGGGGAAUUUUGGACAAUGGGGGCAACCCUGAUCCAGCCAUGCCGCGUGAGUGAAGAAGGCC
Molecule: ribosomal RNA, 407 nt
Filed under: bacterium enrichment culture clone ALO1_GLFRUDD03GU28D
Lineage: Bacteria
Description: bacterial SSU rRNA
Rfam family: Bacterial small subunit ribosomal RNA
Source: RNAcentral